UGUCCAGACUCCUACGGGAGGCAGCAGUGGGGGAUAUUGCACAAUGGGGGGAACCCUGAUGCAGCGACGCCGCGUGGGUGAAGAAGCGCCUCGGCGCGUAAAGCCCUGUCAGCAGGGAAGAAAAUGACGGUACCUGAAGAAGAAGCCCCGGCUAACUACGUGCCAGCAGCCGCGGUAAUACGUAGGGGGCAAGCGUUAUCCGGAUUUACUGGGUGUAAAGGGAGCGUAGACGGCGCGGCAAGUCUGAAGUGAAAGGCAGGGGCUUAACCCCUGAACUGCUUUGGAAACUGCCAUGCUAGAGUGCUGGAGAGGUAAGUGGAAUUCCUAGUGUAGCGGUGAAAUGCGUAGAUAUUAGGAGGAACACCAGUGGCGAAGGCGGCUUACUGGACAGUAACUGACGUUGAGGCUCGAAAGCGUGGGGAGCAAACAGGAUUAGAUACCCUAGUA
Molecule: ribosomal RNA, 447 nt
Filed under: uncultured bacterium
Lineage: Bacteria
Description: partial 16S ribosomal RNA
Rfam family: Bacterial small subunit ribosomal RNA
Source: RNAcentral